AGGUAGGGUCUCCCCCGGGAGGCCCGAACCCCCCACCCUUUGCUGUCGCGAAUCACGUUGCUUCGGCGGGACCUCCCCCCCUCCACCGAGGGGCGGGGGGCCGGGCCACCGCGCCCGGACAGCGCCCGCCGGGGGACCGAACCAACUCUUGUCUUGCGAAAACCCUUGCAGUCGGAGUACAACCGUACAAUCAAAUCAAAACUUUCAACAACGGAUCUCUUGGUUCUGGCAUCGAUGAAGAACGCAGCGAAAUGCGAUAAGUAAUGUGAAUUGCAGAAUUCAGUGAAUCAUCGAAUCUUUGAACGCACAUUGCGCCCCUUGGUAUUCCGAGGGGCAUGCCUGUUCGAGCGUCAUUUCACCAAUCAAGCCCCGCUUGGUAUUGGGUGCGACAGGCCGGCCCCCGUGGCCGGCCCGCCCGAAAUGCAUCGGCGAGGCACCGACCCCCGGCGUGUUAGAAUUUCGAAACGUCGGGAGCACCGGUGACCCUCCGCCGUCAACCGGAGCCCACCCCCCGGG
RNAcentral lists this ribosomal RNA (516 nucleotides) under Elsinoe sp. D132_116. RNAcentral's name for it is "eukaryotic LSU rRNA". The stretch from base 200 to 353 matches the Rfam family "5.8S ribosomal RNA". The record is from RNAcentral. Lineage: Eukaryota; Fungi; Ascomycota; Dothideomycetes; Myriangiales; Elsinoaceae.